CAUUGUGCCUGCAAUGCAGAGGCUGUCGGGAGGGACACAGAUUGAUCUGGAGCUAUUGAGACAACACUGAUACGCUGCUAAAACUAUGGACCCACGUCAGCAAUCACUUCAGGACAUUGGUGAGAGAUUGGAGGAAGAGGUGAGGAAGAGAGUGACAAUAGUAGAACACCAUCCAGAAGGCGAGGUCAGAACAGGUGCAUCAAAGCUGGGACCGAGAGACUGAAAAACAGCUUCUAUCUCAAGGCCAUCAGACUGCUAAACAGCCAUCACGAACUCAGAGAGGCUGCUGCCUACAUUCAGACCCAAUCACUGGACACUUAAAAAAAUGGAUCACUAAUCACUUUAAAUAAUGCCACUUUAAUAAUGUUUACCUAUCAUACAUUACUCAUAUCAUAUGUAUAUAAUGUAUUUUAUACAAUCUCUUGCGACUUGUCUAUGCCGCUCGGCCAUCGCUCAUCCAUAUAGUACAGUUGAAGUCGGAAGUUUACAUACAUCUUAGCCAAAUACAUUUCAACUCAGUUUUUCACAAUUCCUGACAUUUAAUCCUAGUAAAAGGUCUCUGUCUUAGGUCAGUUAGGAUCACCACGAAAUUUUAAGAAUGUGAAAUGUCAGAAUAAUAGUAGAGAGAAAGAUUUAUUUCAGCUUUUAUUUCUUUCAUCACAUUCCCAGUGGGUCAGAGGUUUACAUACACUCAAUUAGUAUUUGGUAGCAUUGCCUUUAAAUUGUUUAACUUGGUUCAGACUUUUUGGGUAGCCUUCCACAAGCUUCCCACAAUAAGUUGGGUGAAUUUUGGCCCUUUCAUCCUGACAGAGUUGGUGUAACUGAGUCAGGUUUGUAGGCCUCUUUGCUCGCACACACUUUUUCAGUUCUGCCCACACAUUUUUUUAUGGAAUUGAGGUCAGGGCUUUGUGAAGGCCACUCCAAUACCUUGGUCCUUGUUGUCCUUAAGCCAUUUUGCCAUAACUUUGGAAGUAUGCUUGGGGUCAUUGUCCAUUUGGAAGACCCAUUUGCGACCAAGCUUUAACUUCCUGACUGAUGUCUUGAGGCGUUGCUUCAAUAUAUCCACAGAAUUUUCCUCCCUCAUGAUGCCAUCUAUAUUGAGAAGUGCACCGGUCCCUCCUGCAGCAAAGCACCCCCACAACAUGAUGCUGCCACCCCUGUGCUUCACGGUUGGGAUUGUGUUUUUCAGCUUGCAAACCUCCCCUUUUUCCUCAAAACAUAACAAUGGGCAUUAUGGCCAAACAGUUCUGUUUUUAUUUCAUCAGACCAGAGGACAUUUCUCCAAAAAGUAUGAUCUUUGUCCCCAUGUGCAGUUGCAAACCGUAGUCUGGCAUUUUUAUGGCAGUUUUGGAGCAGUGGCUUCUUCCUUGCUGAGCGGCCAUUCACGUUAUGGCGAUAUAAGACUAGUUUCGUCUCAGCCUCCAGUAUUUAUGCUGCAGUAGUUUAUGUGUCGGGGGGCUAGGGUCAGUUUGUUAUAUCUGGAGUACUUCUCCUGUCCUAUUCGGUGUCCUGUGUGAAUCUAAGUGUGCGUUCUCUAAUUCUCUCCUUCUCUCUUUCUUUUUCUUUCUCGGAGGACCUGAGCCCUAGGACCAUGCCCCAGGACUACCUGACAUGAUGACUCCUUGCUGUCCCCAGUUCACCUGUCCGUGCUGCUGCUCCAGUUUCAACUGUUCUGCCUUAUUAUUAUUGGACCAUGCUGGUCAUUUAUGAACAUUUGAACAUCUUGGCCAUGUUCUGUUAUAAUCUCCACCCGGCACAGCCAGAAGAGGACUGGCCACCCCACAUGUGCUCUCUCCAAUUCUCUCUUUCUUUCUCUCUCUUGGAGGACCUGAGCCCUAGGACCAUGCCCCAGGACUACCUGACAUGAUGACUCCUUGCUGUCCCCAGUCCACCUGGCCAUGCUGCUGCUCCAGUUUCAACUGUUCUGCCUUAUUAUUAUUGACCAUGCUGGUCAUUAAUGAACAUUUGAACAUUUUGGCCAUGUUCUGUUAUAAUCUCCACCCGGCAUAGCCAGAAGAGGACUGACCACCCCACAUAGCCUGGAUCCUCUCUAGGUUUCUUCCUAGGUUUUGGCCUUUCUAGGGAGUUUUUCCUAGCCACCGUGCUUCUACACCUGCAUUGAUUGCUGUUUGGGGUUUUUGGCUGGGUUUCUGUACAGCACUUUGAGAUAUCAGCUGAUGUGCGAAGGGCUAUAUAAAUAAAUUUGAUUUGAUUUGAUUUUACUUGGAUAUAGAUACUUUUGUACCUGUUUCCUCCAACAUCUUCACAAGGUCCUUUGCUGUUGUUCUGGGAUUGAUUUGCACUUCUCGCACCAAAGUACAUUCAUCUCUAGGAGACAAAACUCGUCUCCUUCCUGAACAGUAUGAUGGCUGCGUGGUCCCAUGGUGUUUAUACUUGCAUACUAUUGUUUGUACAGAUGAACGUGGUACCUUCAGGGGUUUGGAAAUUGCUCCCAAGGAUGAACCAGAAUUGUGGAGGUCUACAUUUUGUUUCUGAGGUCUUGGCUGAUUUAUUUAGAUUUUCCCAUGAUGUCAAGCAAAGAGGUACUGAGUUUGAAGGUAGGCCUUGAAAUACAUCCACAGGUACACCUCCAAUUGACUCAAAUGAUGUCAAUUAGCCUAUCAGAAGCUUCUAAAGCCAUGACAUCAUUUUCUGGAAUUUUCCAAGCUGUUUAAAGGCACAGUCAACUUAGUGUAUGUUAACUUCUGACCCACCGGAAUUUUGAUACAGUGAACUUUAAGUGAAAUAAUCUGUCUGUAAACAAUUGUUGGAAGAAUUACUUGUGUCAUGCACAUAGUAGAGAAUAUGUUUACAUAGAAGUUUGUGGAGUGGUUGAAAAACAAGUUUCAAUGACUCCAACCUAAGUGUAUGUAAACUUCUGAUUUCAACUGUAUAUGUACAUGUUCUCAUUCACCCCAUUAGAUUUGUGUGUAUAAGAUAGUUGUUGGGAAAUUGUUAGAUUACUUGUUAGAUAUUACUGCACUGUCGGAACUUGAAGCACCAGCAUUUCUCAACACUCGCAUUAACAUCUGCUAACCAUGUGUAUGUGACCGCUAACAUCUGCUAACCAUGUGUAUGUGACCAUUAACAUCUGCUAACCGUGUGUAUGUGACCAAUAACAUCUGCUAACCAUGUGUAUGUGACCAAUAACAUCUGCUAACCGUCUGUAUGUGACCAAUAACAUCUGCUAACCAUGUGUAUGUGACCAAUAACAUCUGCUAACCAUGUGUAUGUGACCAUUAACAUCUGCUAACCAUGUGUAUGUGACCAUUAACAUCUGCUAACCAUGUGUAUGUGACCAUUAACAUCUGCUAACCAUGUGUAUGUGACCGUUAACAUCUGCUAACCAUGUGUAUGUGACCAUUAACAUCUGCUAACAAUGUGUAUGUGACCGUUAACAUUUUAUUUUAUUUGACAAUAUCACCAUGUACACUGAGUGUGCUAAAAAUAUGUUAUUUCCUUGACAUAGACUAACCAGGUGAAAGCUAUGAUCCCUUAUUGAUAUCACAUGUUAAUUAAAUCUGUGUAGAUUUUUAUUUAACUAGGCAA
Molecule: long non-coding RNA, 3549 nt
Organism: Oncorhynchus masou masou (cherry salmon)
Lineage: Eukaryota; Metazoa; Chordata; Actinopteri; Salmoniformes; Salmonidae
Exons: 2
Source: RefSeq, a predicted model, not a curated record